GAGGCUGGAAGCCCCCGCGGGCAGACUCUCACACUCGACAUGAUUGUUCUUCACCAGCUGUGUGACCCCCAAACCCCUGACCAUUAACUCCCCCGGCCAACACCAAAACCACCAGCAGGUGUUGUGCAAAACUUCCUGGGACAUUUUUUUUUGCAAAAGAUACCACCUCUUUCCAAUGAAUUUGUGCGCAUUUCAACGUCAAAUGAGAGGUCCGAUGAAGUUUGUUCCGCCACCACAACUUCAAUAACAAAGACACCGAGAACUACUAAAGGUGUUUGAGCUCCUCUUCGUGAUCCAACCCUGCAGAGCGGUACCAUUGCUGCUUCGCUGCUGCUUCAUUGUGAGCAUGUCCACUCCGGAGAGCCUAGCUUUCCUCAUCGCGGAGGUGGCACGUGGACAGCCUGACAGACUGCAAAAGCAAUUACAUAUACAAUGUUUUAUUCAGUCCAU
This is a long non-coding RNA of Syngnathoides biaculeatus (alligator pipefish), 450 nucleotides long. RefSeq lists it as uncharacterized. The record is from RefSeq and is a predicted model, not a curated record. NCBI's taxonomy places the organism in Eukaryota, Metazoa, Chordata, Actinopteri, Syngnathiformes, Syngnathidae. The transcript has 3 exons.